ACUACGGGCGGCAGCAGUGAGGAAUAUUGGUCAAUGGGCGGAAGCCUGAACCAGCCAAGUAGCGUGCAGGAUGACGGCCCUACGGGUUGUAAACUGCUUUUAUACGGGAAUACCGCGCCUUACGUGUAGGGCUUUGCAUGUACCGUAUGAAUAAGGACCGGCUAAUUCCGUGCCAGCAGCCGCGGUAAUACGGAAGGUCCGGGCGUUAUCCGGAUUUAUUGGGUUUAAAGGGAGCGUAGGCCGCAUGUCAAGCGUGCUGUGAAAUGUCCGGGCUCAACCCGGGCCUUGCAGCGCGAACUGGCGUGCUUGAGUCCGCGGAAAGCAGGCGGAAUUCGUCGUGUAGCGGUGAAAUGCUUAGAUAUGACGAAGAACCCCGAUUGCGAAGGCAGCUUGCUGCAGCGGAACUGACGCUGAUGCUCGAAAGCGCGGGUAUCGAACAGGAUUAGAUACCCCGGUAGUC
RNAcentral lists this ribosomal RNA (460 nucleotides) under uncultured bacterium. Its description in RNAcentral is "partial 16S ribosomal RNA". It matches the Rfam family "Bacterial small subunit ribosomal RNA", at positions 338 to 795 of the family's 1533-position model. The record is from RNAcentral.